GUGCUCGCUUCGGCAGCACAUAUACUAAAACUGGAGCAAUACAGAGAAGAUUAGCAUGGCCCCUGCACAAGGAUGACACCCAAAUUCGUGAAGUGUUCCAUAUUUAA
This 107-nucleotide small nuclear RNA is filed under the name Callithrix jacchus (white-tufted-ear marmoset). The record is from RNAcentral. Lineage: Eukaryota; Metazoa; Chordata; Mammalia; Primates; Cebidae.